Alnus glutinosa is the source of this 1929-nucleotide long non-coding RNA. RefSeq lists it as uncharacterized. The record is from RefSeq and is a predicted model, not a curated record. The transcript is spliced from 5 exons. Lineage: Eukaryota; Viridiplantae; Streptophyta; Magnoliopsida; Fagales; Betulaceae.
AUUUGAACCCAACAAACGAAUUGUCAUCCCUUCACAGUAACGAAAGCGCGAAACGUUGGUCUCUUUCUAGGAGAAGCCAAACAAAUGGAUUCUAUCUGGGUCGUCACUGGCUUUCUCAUCGAAGAAGCCAAGCAGCCGCGAAGAAGUAAAAAUCUGUGAAACAGAGGGAAAAAGUCACACCAUCUUCUUCUCCCUUUAGCUGCUCGAGAUCAUAAUCGGAUUGAACCCGGUUGUUCGGUGGCUUGCCAAUCUGUACACAAUCUAUCGGUGGCAAAGUGGGAGUCCUCAACUCUCCAAAAGUCUGCCAGCAGAAGGGAUUAUACAUGUGGUAUUGCUCUUGCAGUGGUUUUAGCUGUAUGGCAGUUAGUGUCACAUCUACACAUGGUAGACUGUCGCUGCAGGCAAAGUGAACGGGCUUAACUGUGUGCUUUUGUCACAAUAGUAUUGGUCGAUCACAAUUGGGAGUUGAACUUCGGAAACUUGAAUGUUUGAGAACAGUACCCCCUGCACAGAGCCUGAUCCUCCCUGCAGAUUUAGCAUUUGAAAUCACGUGUAAGAGAUACAGCUGGUUUAUGCCUGGCAUUUGCAACAACUAGCUUGGAGGUUUUGGAGGAGCACAGAUUUCACGAAGAAUAUAAUAGCUUAAGAAUUGCUUGUCUGGUGUUGUGUUCUUGAUUCUAGCUCAACAUGUGGCCCAGUAUUGUUUAAACAAAUAGAAUGACAAAAAUUGUUCAUGUAGAAGUAUUUAAUUACCACAGGCGAGAUUGCAGCUGUAAAUUAGAACAUCUUUGGAGUUCUGGAGAUGGAUUCCAUCCGUGUUGGGACUGUCACCAGGAGAUGAGAUGCUUAUAUCAUGGACCAACACUCCCAUGCAGUUGUCAAACUUGAGGUGGAACUGGGGACUACUUUGAAUUGUUAUGCCUGUGACCGUCACAUUAAAACUCCCAUAGAACCUCAGUGCCUGUGCAGUAAAAUGCAGCAAUUAUGUUAAAGGAUUGCAGGGCCACGAAAUAAGGCAGGCAUUUAAAGUUUUGAAUGGUCCUUACAGUUGGCUUGAUGCUUGGCAUUGUCCUCCCAAGCUGGCUUGUUAUCUACACCACACAGUUGCAUGUGGGAGAAGCAUGAAUGAUUAGCUUCAGAUAAUUGUGAAUGUAAUUGCAGGGAAAAAAACAAAGGGAGAGAGAUUGUUACCGGCAUUGGUGGGUUCUUUUCAAUAGUGCUAUUUAAUGGGAUAAUCAGUUUUGAUUCGUCAUCAACAGGAUCAUCAAAAGGGGAGUCUUGCCACCAGACUGAGCCUCUUCCAUCAAUCACACCUUUUCCCUGAAUGGUAAUUCCUCUCAGCUUUGUGAACUCAAGCCAUUGAAACAUACCUCCGCCCCAAGCUUUGGAGUUUGUUGGAGCUAUGAUCGUCCCGUCCAGCUGACAAAAACAAUCUCUUUAGUCUUCAAGUUAAAAGUAUCAGUUUUUGUUUAUGCAUUACCGGAUGGAUGGUAAUGGAGGAUGAGUUCCAUCACAAUUCACAGCCUAUACUUCAAUGAUCAAAGUAUGGACCAGAGAAUGAAAUGGGUCCCACGAGGAAUACGGAUGCUGAUGGAACGAUUACCUUUGAUGCCUCCACCUUGCAAGCAGCUGCCCAUGCAGCUUGGAAUGCCUGCGAUGCACCGUAACAAUUUUCAGGUAAGCUACUACUCACUCUUCAUACAUCAACUUGAUGUACAUGUGUCUUAUUUAAUACUAUGGUUGCUGUUCGCUUGUGCUAAACUGUAUACAAUAAUUGUUGGAAUCAUUACCCCAACUGCCAUAACGAGAAUCAUUUUCUGGUGUGGGUCCCACCUGCUUGGUUAGUUCUUUUGUCUUUACCUUUUGUAUCUAUAACUCUUUGAUGGAAUGUAUAAUUUGUAUGCCAUAAUUAAGACUUAUUCUUCUUAA